CAAGUCGAACGGAGUUUUAACGGAAGUUUCGGAUGGAAGUUAGAAACUAGUGGCGGACGGGUGAGUAACGCGUGGGUAACCUGCCUCAUACAGGGGGAUAACAGUUAGAAAUGACUGCUAACACCGCAUAAUAUAGCGAAACCGCAUGAUUUUGCUAUCAAAUAUUUAUAGGUAUGAGAUGGGCCCGCGUCUGAUUAGCUAGUUGGUGGGGUAAAAGCCUACCAAGGCGACGAUCAGUAGCCGGCUUGAGAGAGUGACCGGCCACAUUGGGACUGAGACACGGCCCAAACUCCUACGGGAGGCAGCAGUGGGGAAUAUUGGACAAUGGGGGAAACCCUGAUCCAGCGAACCGCCGCGUGAGUGAAGAAGUAUUUCGGUAUGUAAAGCUCUAUCAGCAGGGAAGAUAAUGACAGUACCUGACUAAGAAGCCCCGGCUAACUACGUGCCAGCAGCCGC
Molecule: ribosomal RNA, 456 nt
Filed under: uncultured bacterium
Lineage: Bacteria
Description: bacterial SSU rRNA
Rfam family: Bacterial small subunit ribosomal RNA
Source: RNAcentral